This 433-nucleotide ribosomal RNA is filed under the name uncultured bacterium. RNAcentral's name for it is "partial 16S ribosomal RNA". It matches the Rfam family "Bacterial small subunit ribosomal RNA", at positions 29 to 507 of the family's 1533-position model. The record is from RNAcentral.
AACGAACGCUGGCGGCAUGCCUAACACAUGCAAGUCGAACGAGACCUUCGGGUCUAGUGGCGCACGGGUGCGUAACGCGUGGGAACCUGCCCUUAGGUUCGGAAUAACUCCCCGAAAUGGGUGCUAAUACCGGAUAAUGUCUUCGGACCAAAGAUUUAUCGCCUUUGGAUGGGCCCGCGUUGGAUUAGCUAGUUGGUAGGGUAAAAGCCUACCAAGGCGACGAUCCAUAGCUGGUCUGAGAGGAUGAUCAGCCACACUGGGACUGAGACACGGCCCAGACUCCUACGGGAAGCAGCAGUGGGGAAUAUUGGACAAUGGGCGAAAGCCUGAUCCAGCAAUGCCGCGUGAGUGAUGAAGGCCUUAGGGUUGUAAAGCUCUUUUACCCGGGAUGAUAAUGACAGUACCGGGAGAAUAAGCUCCGGCUAACUCCGUG